Molecule: ribosomal RNA, 151 nt
Filed under: uncultured cyanobacterium
Lineage: Bacteria; Bacillati; Cyanobacteriota
Description: partial 16S ribosomal RNA
Rfam family: Bacterial small subunit ribosomal RNA
Source: RNAcentral
CUGACGGAGCAAUGCCGCGUGGAGGAUGGAGGCCUGUGGGUUGUAAACUCCUUUUCUCAGAGAAGAAUUUUUGACGGUAUCUGAGGAAUAAGCAUCGGCUAACUCCGUGCCGGCGGCCGCGGUAAGACAGAGGAUGCAAGCGUUAUCCGGA